GUUGUGCGGUGGUGGUGCACUGUAAAAAUUCACACGGUAUGAAAUAGGUAUUUUCGCGAUGUGAAAAAUGAAAGGAAAAACUGUUUCAUGAUCUACAGAGAGAUGUUUUCACGCCCGGUGGCUUGGCGCAGUGGAUAGAAAAAGCAACGGAGAUGAUUCCGCUUUAUUCAUCGCAUAGUGAUACAACCGAAGAAGUGGGACCCUGACCUCGGUGGUUAGUGUCUGGAGGCCGUGAGUGCACUUGUCAAGAGGCAGACCGUCGAGAGGAGACCAACAAAGAGCUGGAGUAUAAGGCAAAGGCCACAGAACAGACAAGCCCAUUUAUUGCUCGAUCACGAGUUUCAAUGAAUCUGAUGCUCAAAGGAGAACACAAUUUCACUUCGGUGGGCUCCAACACACAUUAACGCCCUCUUCUUUAUUCUCCAUCCCAUUGUCAUGCUCAGCAGGUUGCCGGCUGCGGUAGCACACUCCAAAUGACAUAAUUGUCAUUUCGAAAAUGCAGUUACAUCGCCGCAUAAUUCAUAAGCGAUGGGUAAUAAAGUGCCUGGACACUCACUGAUUCCGUGAUUCUGGCCUUGCACAACUGCAAGACCCGAAUUUAUAGAUCAUUGAAGUAGUAUGAAUAUCAAUCAAAUUUUGAAGAUGAAUAUUUGGGAUAAAUUCGAAACGGAAGUUGAUAAAAAUAUAAACGUUCUAGUUAAGUUUGUGCCCAAUCGGGAGUCUAGUAUCGUUGAUAAUAAUUAAUUUGUAAGUGCCAAAAUAACACGGAGUCUUAUGAGAAAAUGAA
Molecule: long non-coding RNA, 787 nt
Organism: Diachasma alloeum
Lineage: Eukaryota; Metazoa; Arthropoda; Insecta; Hymenoptera; Braconidae
Exons: 3
Source: RefSeq, a predicted model, not a curated record